UAGCUCAGAUGGUAAAGAAUCUGCCUGCAAUGCAGGAGAACCAGGUUCGAUUCCUGG
RNAcentral lists this transfer RNA (57 nucleotides) under Ovis aries (sheep). It matches the Rfam family "tRNA", at positions 8 to 63 of the family's 71-position model. From Rfam's summary of the family: Transfer RNA (tRNA) molecules are approximately 80 nucleotides in length. Their secondary structure includes four short double-helical elements and three loops (D, anti-codon, and T loops). The record is from Rfam by way of RNAcentral. Lineage: Eukaryota; Metazoa; Chordata; Mammalia; Artiodactyla; Bovidae.